RNAcentral lists this long non-coding RNA (340 nucleotides) under Olea europaea (common olive). Its description in RNAcentral is "long non-coding RNA (OEUR_LNC003480)". Lineage: Eukaryota; Viridiplantae; Streptophyta; Magnoliopsida; Lamiales; Oleaceae. The record is from RNAcentral.
AUUUAUCUAUCAAUUCAUAUUGCGAUGAAAUGUUGAAUAACAUCUAUUUGUUUUGAUGUUGUAGGUUUUUAUUCUAGCUCUAGAGAAUCUUUUCAAUCCAAAAUACAUUUUGUACGAUGGACAAGACUCGGGUAAUUGUGUUUUCUUAUAAUACAUAAGAUAUAUGCUAAGUUUUGAAAAUAAUUGCAUUUAACUUAUGUUUCCAUGUUGUAUUCUCAAAACCAACUAAACAAACUUCGAAGAGUUCUAAAAGAAGAAGAGCUUCAAUUGCUAAUGCAAUUCAGGAGACAAGUAAGAGACUAAACAAUUCCAGUGAACAAGACAAUACUAUAACUAGUCC